CUACUGUACGCGCCGUAGAUAUCCACAACCACAGAAAAGGAGGGGAAUCAAAAUUCUCCACCGCAAUGUCGCAUCAUCUCCUCCUCCAGCUGCCCUUCGACCCCCAUCAACGGCCGCUCGCGGUUCAUCGCCGCCCUGUAUCCACCCCCGCCAACCUCCGCAAAAUCUGUCCAAGCAUCUUUAGAAGUUCGCCGGCACUGACUCUUUCGUGCUCGACCUCUUUCGGCGCCCUCCGUCCGCGGCCAGUGACCACUCUGAAUGUGAGGUGCAUGGCGAACCCUAGGAGAGUGAAAAUGGUGGCGAAGCAGAUACAGAGAGAGCUCUCCGACAUGCUCCUCACCGACAAGGUCCUCCAGUACGCAGUCCUCCCCGAAGCCGCUCUCGGCGCCGACCGCUACCUCUCCUCCGUCACCACCAUCAGCGACGUCGAAGUAUCCGGUGAUUUGCAGGUUGUUAAAGUAUAUGUAUCUGUUUUUGGUGAUGACCGUGGAAAGGAGGUUGCCAUUGCUGGGUUGAAGUCAAAGGCUAAAUAUGUUCGCAGUGUGUUGGGGAAGCGUAUGAAGCUGCGAUUGACUCCUGAGAUACGCUUUAUAGAAGACGAGUCUCUAGAAAGAGGAAGCAGGGUGAUUGCAAUAUUGGAUAGGAUAAAGAACAAGGAAAAAAUUGCUGAAGGCCGAGGUCAAGAACAAUAUGAACCAUCUGAUCUACCUGAAGAUGAAACAGACAGGGAGGAUGAGGACCCUGAUGAAGGCAUUAUUUAUGUAAAAUAGUGAUUCUGUUGGUGCUCAACAUUGACUUUCGAGCCAGUUUGACGUCGGGCAUGCCUUUGCUUCGCCUCAGGGAACUGUUUUUAACAAUUAUGCAAUUCCCUGCCAUUCCAUGCAGGGUGAUCUUGUUCUUAAGCCCAUCAUAUGAAGUCUUCAACUUCAUGCUGCCCUAAUUCAUGAGGACUUGAACCACUUUGCCCUAGUUCAGAUUUUUGUUGAUGUUCAAUAUGUCAAAUAUUUAAUGUAUAGGCCAUGUGUGAACCAUGGAGUUUAUAGAAAAUCAAUGUGUACAAAAAUGUUCUUACUAGUUUAGUUUUGGUGAUCAAUCAAGAUUGAGUAUUGUCUA
Molecule: RNA transcript, 1113 nt
Organism: Malania oleifera
Lineage: Eukaryota; Viridiplantae; Streptophyta; Magnoliopsida; Santalales; Ximeniaceae
Gene name: probable ribosome-binding factor A, chloroplastic
Exons: 4
Source: RefSeq, a predicted model, not a curated record